RNAcentral lists this ribosomal RNA (564 nucleotides) under Triticum aestivum (bread wheat). Its description in RNAcentral is "partial small subunit ribosomal RNA". The record is from RNAcentral. Lineage: Eukaryota; Viridiplantae; Streptophyta; Magnoliopsida; Poales; Poaceae.
AUGGACCCCACCGACCAGUCGCCGGAGGAGGUGUACUCCGUGUGGGCCCUCCCGCCGGAGCCCGUCCGCGACCGCCUCCGCGGCCUCAUGGCCGGCCUCCGCGCCGCGCACGGCGGCCCGCCCUUCGAGCCGCACGCCACCGUCGUCGGCGCCGUGCGCAUGCGCCGCCCCGCCGCAAUCCAGGCCCUCCGCGCCGCCGCCGCCGCCGCCGGCGUCGCCCCCUACACCGCCCGCGUCACCGGCGUCGCCCGCGGCGACUUCUUCUACCAGUGCGUCUACCUCCUCCUCGAGCCCACCCCCGAGGUGAUCCAGACAAGCGACCACUUCUGCGCCCACUUCGGGUUUCAGAGAUCAACCCCAUAUAUGCCACAUGUAAGUCUCCUGUAUGGGGAUCUAACAGACGAAGAGAAGGAAGCAGCAAGGAAGAAAGUAGAGGAAAUGGGCAGUGAAAUUUCUGGACUGCAGUUUGAGAUCUCCGAGCUCGCACUUUAUCGAACGGAUACUGAGGAUAAAAGCUUGGAGUCCUGGGAACUGGUGGAGGUAUGCCACCUUGGGAAGAAGUGA